GGUAAUACACGAUAAUUUCUCCGGAACAAAGGUGUGAUUCCGCCAGAGGAUGAGUCUAUGUCCUAUUAGCUAGUUGGCAGUGUAAUGGACCACCAAGGCUAUGAUGGGUACGAGGCGUGAGAGCGUGUCCUCGAUCACUGGAACUGAGACACUGUCCAGACACCAACGGGUGGCUGCAGUCGAGAAUCUUCGGCAAUGGACGAAAGUCUGACCGAGCGAUGCCGCGUGUGUGAUGAAGGUCUUCGGAUUGUAAAGCACUGUAAGUUGGGAGGAAGUGUAUAGGGGUACUCCCCCAUAUUUGACCUAUCUUCAAAGUAAGGACGGGCUAAGUUCAUGCCAGCAGCCGCGGUAAGACGAACUGUCCAAACGUUAUUCGGAAUCACUGGGCUUAAAGGGUGCGUAGGCUGUCCGAUAAGUGGGGUGUGAAAUCCCUCAGCUCAACUGAGGAAUUGCGCUCCAAACUGUCAGACUCGAGGAAUGUAGGGGUAAGCGGAACUUGCGGUGGAGCGGUGAAAUGCUUUGAUAU
RNAcentral lists this ribosomal RNA (526 nucleotides) under uncultured bacterium. Its description in RNAcentral is "bacterial SSU rRNA". It matches the Rfam family "Bacterial small subunit ribosomal RNA", at positions 162 to 697 of the family's 1533-position model. The record is from RNAcentral.